Gossypium hirsutum (cotton) is the source of this 144-nucleotide non-coding RNA. The record is from Rfam. NCBI's taxonomy places the organism in Eukaryota, Viridiplantae, Streptophyta, Magnoliopsida, Malvales, Malvaceae.
UGUUAAGAAUGUCAUCCAUUUCUAUUACUAAAAUUGAUAUGGUAGACAAAAUAAUCAAACAGUAACACAUGAUUUGCCACAUAUGCCUCAUGUUGACGUACAAAGACAAGUUUUUAACAAUAGAAAUUGAUGUAAUUUUUAAUA